Molecule: long non-coding RNA, 241 nt
Filed under: Theobroma cacao (cacao)
Lineage: Eukaryota; Viridiplantae; Streptophyta; Magnoliopsida; Malvales; Malvaceae
Description: long non-coding RNA (TCAC_LNC000964)
Source: RNAcentral
CUACAUUUUUAACGGAUUUCGAGAUUUUUGAGGAAAAAUGAUCAAAAUGCCCCUGUGAGAAAAAAAUUGUUUUUCUAUUGUUUUGAUUUGGAAAAUGUUUAUAAUCUCUCAAAACAUAAUUUUAGUGAAUAAUAUUCACAGGGAAAGCGAGAAAAACUGAUGUUAAGCCUUACGAGGUUUCGAUUGACAUUCCGGGUAAUGAAUGUCUAUCGGGACGUCGCGACGGUUGUCACGGGCUCGA